GGAAAUUUCUACUAGGGAGAGACCGCGAAGGUGGCUGACUAGUCGACGGCAACCACGGCUGAGUAUGAGUAAGACGAAAAAUGCGAGAGACAGAGAGAGAGGGAGCGAUGCGGGAAAAUCUGCCGACAACUAAUUUUAAUUCAUUGAAAGUUGGGCGACCGGCGAAAGCAACCUAAGCGGCGGAGGCACAGUGCUGGCUACAGGCGGCGAUCGAAUGAAGUAUGAGAGAGAGAGAAUCGCGCGAGAGUUGAAAAGAGAGGCUUUGACGUUAGCGACGGCGGCGGCGGUCAGGCAGCGUUCGACUAGGAUCGGCGGCGCGAAUGGAGGCGAGCGGUGGAA
RNAcentral lists this unclassified non-coding RNA (339 nucleotides) under Hevea brasiliensis (rubber tree). Lineage: Eukaryota; Viridiplantae; Streptophyta; Magnoliopsida; Malpighiales; Euphorbiaceae. The record is from RNAcentral.